This 233-nucleotide ribosomal RNA is filed under the name uncultured eukaryote. RNAcentral's name for it is "partial 18S ribosomal RNA". The stretch from base 69 to 233 matches the Rfam family "Eukaryotic small subunit ribosomal RNA", at positions 763 to 931 of the family's 1831-position model. The record is from RNAcentral.
ACGGCNCCCAUCUNGCUGCCGGGGACGGGCUCCUGGGCUUAACUGUCCGGGACUCGGAGUCGACRAGGUUACUUUGAGUAAAUUARAGUGUUCAAAGCAGGCCUACGCUCUGAAUACWUUACAUGRAAUAACACGAUAGGACUCUGGCCUAUCUUGUUGGUCUGUAGGACCGGAGUAAUGAUUAARAGGGACAGUCGGGGGCAUUCGUAUUUCAUUGUCAGAGGUGAAAUUCU